This 253-nucleotide ribosomal RNA is filed under the name uncultured bacterium. RNAcentral describes it as "partial 16S ribosomal RNA". It matches the Rfam family "Bacterial small subunit ribosomal RNA", at positions 524 to 776 of the family's 1533-position model. The record is from RNAcentral.
UACAGAGGGGGCAAGCGUUGUUCGGAAUUACUGGGCGUAAAGGGCGCGUAGGCGGCCUGCUAAGUCGAACGUGAAAUCCCUGGGCUCAACCCAGGAACUGCGUCCGAUACUGGUUGGCUUGAAUCCGGGAGAGGGACGUGGAAUUCCAGGUGUAGCGGUGAAAUGCGUAGAUAUCUGGAGGAACACCGGUGGCGAAGGCGGCGUCCUGGACCAAUACUGACACUGAUGAGCGAAAGCCAGGGGAGCAAACGGG